CACAUGACUCUCGGCAACGGAUAUCUCGGCUCUCGCAUCGAUGAAGAACGUAGCGAAAUGCGAUACCUGGUGUGAAUUGCAGAAUCCCGCGAACCAUCGAGUCUUUGAACGCAAGUUGCGCCCGAGGCCACUCGGUCGAGGGCACGCCUGCCUGGGCGUCACGC
Molecule: ribosomal RNA, 164 nt
Filed under: Hordeum pubiflorum
Lineage: Eukaryota; Viridiplantae; Streptophyta; Magnoliopsida; Poales; Poaceae
Description: 5.8S ribosomal RNA
Rfam family: 5.8S ribosomal RNA
About the family: 5.8S ribosomal RNA (5.8S rRNA) is a component of the large subunit of the eukaryotic ribosome. It is transcribed by RNA polymerase I as part of the 45S precursor that also contains 18S and 28S rRNA.
Source: RNAcentral